GCAAUACAAUAAGCGGAGGAAAAGAAACUAACAAGGAUUCCCCUAGUAACGGCGAGUGAAGCGGGAAGAGCUCAAAUUUGAAAUCUGGUGGCCUCAGGUCAUCCGAGUUGUAAUCUAUAGAAGUGUUUUCCGUGCUGGCUCAUGUACAAGUCCCUUGGAACAGGGCGUCAUAGAGGGUGAGAAUCCCGUCCUUGACAUGAACUACCAGUGCUCUGUGAUACAUUUUCAACGAGUCGAGUUGUUUGGGAAUGCAGCUCAAAAUGGGUGGUAAAUUCCAUCUAAAGCUAAAUAUUGGCGAGAGACCGAUAGCGAACAAGUACCGUGAGGGAAAGAUGAAAAGCACUUUGGAAAGAGAGUUAAACAGUAUGUGAAAUUGUUGAAAGGGAAACGAUUGAAGUCAGUCGUGCUCUUUGGAUUCAGCCGGUUCUGCCGGUGUACUUCCUUUGAGUGGGGUCAACAUCAGUUUUGAUCGCUGGAUAAAGGCUGGAGGAACGUAGUACCCUCGGGUAAACUUAUAGCCUCCUGUCACAUACAGUGGUUGGGACUGAGGAACGCAGCACGCCUUUAUGGCCGGGAUUCGUCCACGUACGUGCUUAGGAUGUUGACAUAAUGGCUUUAAACGACCCGUCUUGAAACACGGACC
This 643-nucleotide ribosomal RNA is filed under the name Filobasidium magnum. RNAcentral's name for it is "eukaryotic LSU rRNA". It matches the Rfam family "Eukaryotic large subunit ribosomal RNA", at positions 38 to 667 of the family's 3401-position model. Lineage: Eukaryota; Fungi; Basidiomycota; Tremellomycetes; Filobasidiales; Filobasidiaceae. The record is from RNAcentral.